This 301-nucleotide ribosomal RNA is filed under the name uncultured bacterium. RNAcentral describes it as "partial 16S ribosomal RNA". It matches the Rfam family "Bacterial small subunit ribosomal RNA", at positions 509 to 807 of the family's 1533-position model. The record is from RNAcentral.
CAGUAGCCGCGGUAAUACGGAGGGUGCAAGCGUUAAUCGGAAUUACCGGGCGUAAAGCGUGCGUAGGCGGUUCGUUAAGUCUGUUGUGAAAGCCCCGGGCUCAACCUGGGAAUGGCAAUGGAUACUGGCGAGCUAGAGUGUGUCAGAGGAUGGUGGAAUUCCCGGUGUAGCGGUGAAAUGCGUAGAGAUCGGGAGGAACAUCAGUGGCGAAGGCGGCCAUCUGGGACAACACUGACGCUGAGGCACGAAAGCGUGGGGAGCAAACAGGAUUAGAUACCCCCGUAGUCCCUGUCUCUUAUAC